Long non-coding RNA from Onychomys torridus (southern grasshopper mouse), 2583 nucleotides. RefSeq lists it as uncharacterized. NCBI's taxonomy places the organism in Eukaryota, Metazoa, Chordata, Mammalia, Rodentia, Cricetidae. The record is from RefSeq and is a predicted model, not a curated record. The transcript is spliced from 4 exons.
UCUCUCCCUCUGUCUCCCUCUGUCUCUUACGGGCAGAGAGAAGAAACCCACGCGCGCACGCGGUGAUGUCUUACGGGUGAUAAUUGGCCCAGGGGUCGGGUCUGACGGGAACAGAAAGUUUUGAGGGAGUUUACUGCUGAUGCAAGGUGACUGGUUGGAUAAAGAAGUCCAAAGUUAUUUUUUUAUCUGUAGAACAAAUAAAGCCUGGCCAAAGGGUUACUGUCGGGAUGAAAUGAACAAGUGUUGGAAACAAAUGUCCCUAGACACUGAAGAAUGCCAGUGCCUGAAUGGAUGACUUUCUUCUGUCUCCUGUAGAUGACCUUGAGCACAGAGCAGGGGCUCCUGGGGGCAGGAUCCAGUCAACGGCAGCCCCAUGAGGCACUUGUGGCUUGAAGGCAGAAGUGACCACUUUAGAAACAAGUGACAGAGGUACACAGAUGACCAUGCCAUGCUAGACACCUAAGCAGGUUGGACUCUGAGAAGACUUGUAUUUUCUGGCUCUGGCUCUACAAGAAUGUGGCAUGAAGGAUUCUAGGUGGUUCCUAUGGUUGAGGAACUAGAGGCUUGGAGAGACUUGUAACCUGACGAAACCAUGCAAUGGGGCCAGGACGCAAAGCCUGUGUUCUCCCAGCAGUUCCUCUGUAUCAUGGGUGUAAUCAUCGAGGCGUCUUCUGAUCUUUCCCUUUGGUUCCUUCUCCAGCAAGUUCCUGUUGUCACUUAGGAAUUUUAUGUAUGGACUCAAUCCUGACCGAGAUAUCAUGAUAUCCAGAAUCCUGGUUGAUCUGUAACACAUACUGGGCCAGCUUGAACAAGCUCUUGACCAUGGCUGGGAUAUCCAACUAGAUCUGAGAGUGCUUUCCCUCCCCAGCUCAGUUCAAAUGGGAGGGUCUAAUAAGACCAUUCACACCAGCAUUCCUCAGAUAUAGGUGCUCUGCAGUUUUCUUUAUAGAAUAAUGUAAGAGACACAGUUAAACAGCAAGGAGUUGUUCCUGUGAGCUUGGCCAAUGUGAACCAGACUUUCUUAGGGCUUGCUUAUCCCAAAGCAGAUCAACCAUUAGACUUCCAGAUCUGAGACACCAAACCAUGUAUUUCAGAGAGACCUCAGCCUCAAUGUUCUGCCUAGCUCCCAGCCCUGGCCUCUUCCAACUGUUACCUGGGUUUCAGCCAUGUGUGGGGUUGAUUCAGGAUGGAAAUACCAGCUAAGUCAGUGAAACCCAUUGCCCCUGGGCCUGUGGAGAAGCAAGGCAUGACGGUGAGGAGCCUGUGGUGGGGCCAACUUCUCAGCUCAUGGCAGCAGGAAGCCCAGAGAACAAGGAGAAGGACACAGUUCAUCGACUCCACUUUCUUCCACCAGAACCCGUCGUCUUUGGAUUCUGCCAUUUCCUAGUCAUGGCCCAGGCUGGAUACCUUCACGGACAUUGCAGGCUGUGUGUCUGCUCACAGAUGCCUUCUGCAAGGGCACUUUUACUCAGGGGACGUUCCUGCUCUUAGUGCAGUGGGCUCCCUCCCUUCAGUGCCAUUCCCCAGGGACAGUUUCUCCAUGUCCACACCCCACCCCGCCCCCCAGUCAGAGAAAUCAAUACCUAACCAUGGAAUUCUCCUCAGCAGUUUUUGGUGUGGUUGAAAAACUUCCCUUUGAAGCUGAAAGUGGCCAUGGGUCCAGAUACAGUCUCCAUGCUGCCUGCCCCAGGGGCCACCCCCACCGCUGAGGUGUUCAGCUCCACAAGGCAUCUUGUGUCUUGAAACAUAGGUGUCUCAUCUGGGAGCUUAGGAAGGGCUGAAGACACAUCUUGGUCAUUAGUGUCACCUGUGGUAAUGUGAUUAGCAUGAACAGUUCAAGGUGAAGGGCUGUCUUUAAGAACACCAGCUGAUCCUCACAGCUGGAGGCCAGCAGUAGCCGUGGCUCAGAAGGGGACAGCCUAACCACUCUGUGUGUUUGAGCUAAUGAGAAGGUUAGGGGUCCAGUGUCACUUGAGAUAAAUUAGAGAAGGAGACCAACUGCAGACUGCACCCUGAGCAGAGCCGAGUUUCUCGAAAAGGAACUUACCACUGUGGUGUGACUCAUAGAAGAGGCUAGCUCACAGGGACACACACACAUUCACUCAAGCUUUCGUCAUGGUAGCUUAGUUUCGGUUUGGUUGCUAGUGUGUUUUUGGUUUGUUUGUUUUAUUGACUUAAUUAAAAAUAAUAUAAUGAAACUCAGUCCCUGGAUGUGGGGAUCUGAGGGUUUUCAGGAAGGCAGUCAUGUGUGCACUAGAAGUCAUGAUGUGGAGCCCUGAUCACACCCCAGCCCAUUUCCUAUGUGACCCUUUGCAUCCAACACCUUCUUCUUGUCCCAAAGCCUGGCAGCUCUGGAUCUGUUUUGCAGGUCUUUUCCAGAAUGUUCUAUAGAUAGAAUAAUACAUCACAGAACUUGUCAGAUCUGAUUUCUUUUACCCAGCAGUAUGUAUUGGGACCCAUCCUUGCUGUUGAAUGUGUGGAGUUUGCUGUUUUCAUUGCUGAGCGAUACUCCACUGUUCACUUGUUGACUGGCAUGUCGUUACUUUUAGUCAGGAAAACCAUAGUAAACAUUUGUGUGCAACA